GGUAGGAUAGAGGCCUACCAUGGUGGUAACGGGUAACGGGGUGUUAGGGCACGACACCGGAGAGGGAGCCUGAGAAACGGCUACCACAUCCAAGGAUGGCAGCAGGCGCGCAAAUUACCCAAUCCCGACACGGGGAGGUAGUGACAAUAAAUAACAAUACGGGGUUCUUUAGGAUCUCGUAAUUGGAAUGAGUACAAUUUAAAUCUCUUAACGAGGAACAAUUGGAGGGCAAGUCUGGUGCCAGCAGCCGCGGUAAUUCCAGCUCCAAUAGCGUAUAUUAAAGUUGUUGCAGUUAAAAAGCUCGUAGUUGAAUUUCGGGGUUAGUAGGUUGGUCAUGCCUCUGGUAUGUACUGGUCUCACUGAUUCCUCCUUCCUGAUGAACCGUAAUGCCAUUAAUUUGGUGUUGCGGGGAAUUUGGACUGUUACUUUGAAAAAAUUAGAGUGUUUAAAGCAAGCUAACGCUUGAAUACAUUAGCAUGGAAUAAUGAAAUAGGACGUUCGAUCCUAUUGUGUUGGUUUCUAGGAUUGACGUAAUGAUUAAUAGGGAUAGUUG
Molecule: ribosomal RNA, 553 nt
Filed under: uncultured Glomus
Lineage: Eukaryota; Fungi; Glomeromycota; Glomeromycetes; Glomerales; Glomeraceae
Description: SSU rRNA
Rfam family: Eukaryotic small subunit ribosomal RNA
Source: RNAcentral